RNAcentral lists this ribosomal RNA (459 nucleotides) under uncultured bacterium. RNAcentral's name for it is "partial 16S ribosomal RNA". It matches the Rfam family "Bacterial small subunit ribosomal RNA", at positions 338 to 795 of the family's 1533-position model. The record is from RNAcentral.
CCUACGGGAGGCAGCAGUGAGGAAUAUUGGUCAAUGGACGCAAGCCUGAACCAGCCAAGUCGCGUGAGGGAAGACGGCCCUACGGGUUGUAAACCUCUUUUGUCGGGGAGCAAAGCGAGUCACGUGUGACUCAUUGAGAGUACACGAAGAAAAAGCAUCGGCUAACUCCGUGCCAGCAGCCGCGGUAAUACGGAGGAUGCGAGCGUUAACUGGAUUUAUUGGGUUUAAAGGGUGCGUAGCGGGAGGGUCAAGUUAGUGGUAAAAUUGCGGGGCUAAACCUGGUACUGCCGUUGAUACUGCAUACCUUGAGUGCGCGAGAGGUAUGCGGAAUGCGUGGUGUAGCGGUGAAAUGCAUAGAUAUCACGAAGAACUCCGAUUGCGAAGGCAGCAUACUGGCGCGCAACUGACGCUGAUGCGCGAAAGCGUGGGUAUCGAACAGGAUUAGAUACCCCUGUAGUC